Molecule: long non-coding RNA, 226 nt
Filed under: Nicotiana benthamiana
Lineage: Eukaryota; Viridiplantae; Streptophyta; Magnoliopsida; Solanales; Solanaceae
Description: long non-coding RNA (NBEN_LNC034368)
Source: RNAcentral
AGACUAGAAUCUCCAUGGAUGGACUCUGACUCUAAACGAAGGAAUCUGAGCUUUAUCAACAUUGAUAAGCUUUCUAGCUUGUGCAGGCAGCUGGUGGAACUCCUCAAAAGUGCCAGAAAUCUCCUCAUCAAUGGCAUAAUUAGCUAGGCUAUCUGCCACAGCAUUUCCUUCCCUGUACACAUGAGAAAAUCGAAUUUGUUUAUCCCUCAUGUAAUAAUUUUCCUGA